This 376-nucleotide ribosomal RNA is filed under the name uncultured bacterium. Its description in RNAcentral is "bacterial SSU rRNA". It matches the Rfam family "Bacterial small subunit ribosomal RNA", at positions 524 to 898 of the family's 1533-position model. The record is from RNAcentral.
GACAGAGGGUGCAAACGUUGCUCGGAAUUACUGGGCGUAAAGCGCGUGUAGGCGGACUGGUGUGUCGGAUGUGAAAUCCCCAGGCUCAACCUGGGAACUGCACCCGAAACUACCAGCCUUGAGUGGUGGAGAGGGUAGUGGAAUUCCUGGUGUAGAGGUGAAAUUCGUAGAUAUCAGGAGGAACACCAGUGGCGAAGGCGGCUACCUGGACACCAACUGACGCUGAGACGCGAAAGCGUGGGGAGCAAACAGGAUUAGAUACCCUGGUAGUCCACGCCGUAAACGAUGGGCACUAGGUGUCGCGGGUUUUGACCCCUGCGGUGCCGUAGCCAACGCGUUAAGUGCCCCGCCUGGGGAGUACGGCCGCAAGGCUAAA